UGGGGAAUUUUGGACAAUGGGCGAAAGCCUGAUCCAGCAAUGCCGCGUGAGUGAAGAAGGCCUUCGGGUUGUAAAGCUCUUUUGUCAGGGAAGAAACGGUGAGAGCUAAUAUCUCUUGCUAAUGACGGUACCUGAAGAAUAAGCACCGGCUAACUACGUGCCAGCAGCCGCGGUAAUACGUAGGGUGCAAGCGUUAAUCGGAAUUACUGGGCGUAAAGCGUGCGCAGGCGGUUAUGCAAGACAGAUGUGAAAUCCCCGGGCUCAACCUGGGAACUGCAUUUGUGACUGCAUAGCUGGAGUGGGGCAGAGGGGGAUGGAAUUCCACGUGUAGCAGUGAAAUGCGUAGAUAUGUGGAGGAACACCGAUGGCGAAGGCAGCCCCCUGGGUCAAGAUUGACGCUCAUGCACGAAAGCGUGGGGAGCAAACA
RNAcentral lists this ribosomal RNA (427 nucleotides) under uncultured bacterium. RNAcentral's name for it is "bacterial SSU rRNA". It matches the Rfam family "Bacterial small subunit ribosomal RNA", at positions 355 to 774 of the family's 1533-position model. The record is from RNAcentral.